Molecule: transfer RNA, 84 nt
Filed under: Dreissena polymorpha
Lineage: Eukaryota; Metazoa; Mollusca; Bivalvia; Myida; Dreissenidae
Rfam family: tRNA
About the family: Transfer RNA (tRNA) molecules are approximately 80 nucleotides in length. Their secondary structure includes four short double-helical elements and three loops (D, anti-codon, and T loops).
Source: Rfam by way of RNAcentral
GUCAGGAUGGCCAAGCGGUCUAAGGCGCUGCGUUCAGUUCGCAGUCUGGUUCUGCAUUCGUGGGUUCAAAUCCCACUUCUAACA